Molecule: ribosomal RNA, 406 nt
Filed under: uncultured bacterium
Lineage: Bacteria
Description: partial 16S ribosomal RNA
Rfam family: Bacterial small subunit ribosomal RNA
Source: RNAcentral
AUUGAACGCUGGCGGCAGGCCUAACACAUGCAAGUCGAACGAGUGGCGGACGGGUGAGUAAUGUCUGGGAAACUGCCUGAUGGAGGGGGAUAACUACUGGAAACGGUAGCUAAUACCGCAUACCAUCAGAUGUGCCCAGAUGGGAUUAGCUAGUUGGUGGGGUAACGGGUCACCAAGGCGACGAUCCCUAGCUGGUCUGAGAGGAUGACCCGCCACAUUGGAGCUGAGACACGGUCCAGACUACUACGGUAGGCAGUAGUGGGGAAGAGUGCACAAUGGGCGCAAGCCUGAUGCAGCCAUGCCGCGUGUAUGAAGAAGGCCGUCGGGUUGUAAAGUACUUGCAGCGGGGAGGCGUUACCAGCAGAAGAAGCACCGGCUAACGCCGUGCAAGCCGCCGCGGUAAUUC